This is a non-coding RNA of Punica granatum (pomegranate), 7333 nucleotides long. NCBI's taxonomy places the organism in Eukaryota, Viridiplantae, Streptophyta, Magnoliopsida, Myrtales, Lythraceae. The record is from RefSeq and is a predicted model, not a curated record.
AAAGGUGGACUAAAAAAGGAGUGCGUGCUCUGCGCUCGUCUGUCAUGCUCAUGCAUGAUGGUUCCCUUCCCUCCUUGAGUUGAGCUCCCAUCUGCUUGACACUGUGAAUCUAUCUAUCUAUCUAUCUAUCUAUCGAUCGCACUAUGGCUCUCACUCUGCCUUCUCGUUUUCUUCUCACUCGGUCGCUCCGCAUUUUCUCGGCAGAGAAAUUGAGGACGGAAUUCUGCAACUGCGAAGGUCGAGCGAGGUCGUGGCGGUUUUUACCAGCUGUGUAACGCGACGCCCCGUCAGUGUAGAAAACCCACCCACCCCAUACCACUACUGCUACUGUACUUGCAAUUCACUAUCAGUCCCCAUACCGCUACUCUUUCAGAUUUCGUAUUAAUUUGUGAUUCUGCCAAAUGGGGGCGGGGCCGCAUUGAUCCUUCCUCACCCGGCAUUGCAACCAUGGAGCUCCUCGCCGACAGUGACGCCUUGCACUAUCUCUAUUCUCCUCCGCUCACUGGGUAUGGGUCUCCAGCUAGCUACAAGCAUGUGCUUGUGCAUCAUGGCUAGUUCCGAAGCCCAGGCUUUGUUUGAACGCUAUCUGUAAUGUAUGAUUAUCAUGAUAUAAUAUGACUUCUCGCUCUUUAUCUUUCUCAUCAAUUCUUCACCCAGGCGUCUCUUUGCUUUCCCCGACUUAGAUCAUUUCAUCUCCGCAAUCGUGUUUCCAUGUUGGAUAUUAUUUGAUUGGACAACUUUCUCUGGCUUCCUGCACGAGUGGUGGUGGUAAUGAUGAUGAGCGCUUCCGAGCAGAUUAAUGCCUCUCUGUCAAGACACUCCACAUUGAUUGAGGAAAGAGUUCAAACUUUGGCUGUCAGUCUCAGUGCCAGUAAUGGAUUAACUUUGAGACACUUUCCAGCACCGUCAGGGAUGUGGCCUUUGGUGGUGAUCACUGUUUAUGGAGCAAUCUUUUUCACCACCAAUUUCUUGACAACCUAGCUCUCAGCCUUUUGUUUGAUCUUCCAGUCACAGCUAACUCAUCAAACCUCCAAGAAUCUCCUAUUUUCUCUGUAUCAACAGAAUCCUGGGACGUCCAUGUCACCCUUGUACUCUUCUAGAAUAAUGACUGAAUCAAGUCCACUUGGAGUUGCCUACUGAAAUUCUGUGAUAUUAAACAGGGAGCAGAGCCUGUGCCUCAGAGCUCAGCCCUCGCUUUUUGAGGUCAUUGCAGCAAAUAAAUGAGAGUGAUCUUAGAGCAAAGAUGCCACUAAAUGAGAAUGAUGAAGCUGAUGUUCCCUCUAGCACCUCGCUUGAACAUAUUUCAGCUGCUAAUAAAGAAGAAGGUAAAUUUUCAAUUACCUAUGGAAAGUCGUUUAUUCAUUUUAUUCUAAAACAAGGGGGCAUUCAUGGCUACGCAUGGAAAUUAUCUACAGGUAUUAAAUUGGAAGAUACAUGCAUAGCGGCAGGAGAAGUUUUUGAAUAGCGAGAGCGUCUAGAUGAUUUCUUCGUCUCUCUUAAAAUGAUUUCCAUGUGCUAUGUGUUUUUAUUUUGGCGGAUCUUCUGUCUGCUAUGUGAAAUUUCUCUUCUGUACAGCUGACUUUAAGUGCUUUAUUCCAGAAAAAAUAUGUUCCAUGUCAAACCGAGUUAUAUUGGAACUUUUUGCAAUUCUGACUUUGUCUGAGGAUAAUUAUGAAAAUUUGAUCAUGGUUUGUGAAGUUCUGGAAUCUUGCAGAAAAAAAUAGGAGAGAUAUUCUAGAAGUGAAUAGUUGAACAUAACCUUUAGCACUGAAGGAGUUGCGUGGACCAGUCCUAGCAAGUUUGUGAAGCUGCUGAAACGAUGCCCUUUUUGGCAUAUCUGUCUUAAUGCACGCACCCUAUAGUUUCCUUUUCCUAAAAUUUCUUUUGUAUUUCUGUUGCUAGCGUAGAACUAAAUAGUGGGAUUCCUACUCGCGAAUGAUCAUAACCUUCUUUGGGUUUUUCUUUUUUUAAAUUGUUAGAAUGGUUCUUUUGGGCUUUGUUCUGAUGCAAAAUUUUCCAAUGUGAACAUUUUAUGUACUCAUCUUAAAAGAUGAGACUCCUAUGCUCAGUCCUUGGACUUGCAUCAUCAUUUCCAUGUUUGUGUUUGCCUGUAAGUUUUCUGCAAGAAGUUGAAUUGGUGCAUCUUAAUAUUAGUAGUUUUUGCAUUCAAAAUGUUAAUAAUUCAAUGCCUUUGUCGGAACUUGGACGUGGUAUUUUUGGAUGGAAUGCGCCAACUUUUCCAGAUCCAUCUGAUGACAAAUUGUUAGUUCUUGCCACUGGCUCUGUCUUACGUCACAUGCAUCUUACACAUGUUUAUUUCUCUUUCUGCCUGUAUUUCAUUCUAAACGAACAAAAUCAUUUUUCUGCUUCCAUCAGUAUUGUUCUGAUAUUGAGAUUCUCUUUCCUUUUUGAUGUUAGAAUAAAAGGGAAGUGUUCGAAAGGCUCAAGACACAAUAUUAUGUUUCUUGCCAAAACAGAAGGGGAAAAAACUAUAUGUUGCUUUUAGUUUUGAUGGCUUAUGUUCUUUCAAAGAACUGCCUCUUUGUUUUUGUUGCUUGUGAUGGCCGAGAAUUACAAAUGGUUUCUAGUUUAUCAAUAAAAUUUCCUUGUAUUCACAUUUUUUCGGGGAUAUUUACUAAUAGCAAGCUCACCUUACCACAAUUAUUAGCAAAUAUAAGAGCGCAAGUAGGAUGAAUGACAUAUGUCUGAUAGACAAGUAAGUCUGAUCGACUCCUGCCACGUCAUUCAAUGGUAAAAAAGGUUCUUGCUUAGCAUAAGUCUGCAGAUAUUUGCUAAAGAAUAAUGGGGUAAAAGUAUAUAUCAACAGACCUCGGAAAGCUAGACUUGGUUCUCCAUCGAUGUGGCAUCUGGUAGUUAUGAUAUAUUGAUACAAGCAAUUUACAGAAAGACUAUGAUGAGGAUGAGAUUAUUUGCUCAGAGGUAAUGGGAUAAAAGUAUCAACGCGACCUUGGGAAACAAGACUCUGUUUAUCUGUCGAUGCGGCAUGUGGUAGUUACUAUAUGAUACAAACAAUUUACUAAGAGUGUAAUCAGGACGAGAUAUUUAUUAGUCUUUGAUGUUCAAAUGCAUUGUCUUUAAUUGUUGAUAAAAUGGGUAAACGACACUGUUACUCUGAGGUACUUUGUGUUCCAUAAUAAUUAUUUGUUACUACUUAUCCAUUUUCAUCAGCUGUGAAAUCUAUAUAGGGUUUUCCAGUUUCUUCAAUAGCCAAAUUCUUGCUUAGGGCAAUGAUACUUAAAAGGUACUACAUUUUCUUUUAUUGGAAAUUACAAAUUACAUUGUGACAGUAUGUCCUGAACUCGCAGCAUGAUACGUCUAUCGUGGUUAACUCCAUCUACAUACACUGGUCCAUGAUGUUGACGACCAGUAGAGGAAACUGUGUUGCCUUGGAUGGUGAUCCAUCUAGUUGUUGGAGAGUAUCAUUCUAUUAAUAGACUCUAGCCUAGUAAUACGGUUAAGGAUGUAAUAGUCUUUUAUAGGAGAUCCCAUAUAUUUAUGUUCAUCGGGCAAAAUAGUUAUGAUCGCGUAUAAUGUUGAAAAGCAUUCAAACUAGUUUUAUAAUCCUGAGGAGCUUCAAGUCUAACUGUCUUUUUACAGAUGUCAAUAUGGAAACUGUUUACGUGGCAGAAGUUGAUGCAUGGAUUGAUGGCUUGCAAAACAUUGAGUUAUCUUUUUGCUUCAAGUCGCCAAAAUGUUCAUCUCCUUUUCCCAAAGGUUGUUUCUCAUACAGUAUUCAUUGAAUAUUGAGUGCAGGUACUGUGACCUGUAAUGUGGAGCCAUUUCCAGUUGUUGGAAACAUAAAGAUAUCUACAUGGAUCCAGUGCAUUGAGGCUUUGAGUGAAAGCAGUCUAUACAGGGAGUUCUCUGGCAUUGUAUGAGUUGCAAGUGGCAGACGGACUAUAAUUUUCCAGGUUGUUGGAUUGCCCCUUUGAUCAGGGUCAACCGUAGGACUGGGGAUUACUUGUUAGUGAUUGGUAAAUGGUUCAAAACAAAAUCCGAGGAACAGGGACUGAAUUGAAGAUUUAUUUGGUCAUUUAUUGAUUAUUCAAAGGUAGUAAUCUUACAGUAAAAGAAACACUUCCACAUUGACCAGCGCAACUUCUUUUUUUUUUUUUUGGGAUAAGUGACCCGUGCAACCUGAGGCAAUACUAUUGGUGUUGUAGCUACCAUAUCUUAGACCCUGUAGGCUGGGGAUAAGUUGGACAAUAACUCCUUUCAAAUACUGAAUAUGAACCACGUCAAAUGCAUGGAAUAAUGUGCUUCGUCCAGAAUAUUUGGAGACAUGACCAAGCCACCUCAAUUUUCACUCCUGUUUGGCUUGUCUGAGGCAAUUAAAUCCUGAUCUGGUGCAGAUUUCUGGCUCACCGUGUCAGCAGCGGAGGGAAUCCAAUCGUUGGUUGCUGGAUUGCCCUUGCAGGAGGCAUGAAGUCCUGUGGAAGUAUCAGGUGUGAGAUUGAAACUUCCAUCACUUGAAUUAUCCACCUUUAUAAAGCCGGUUCCAGUCUGAAAUGAAACAAGCAGAUAGAUUAGUGUAAUCAACCUUCUAAUUUCUGCUCGCAAUUUGCAUUACCUGAUUACACAUGUAACUCUUUUGCCUUAUUUAAUGCGUUUUCUGAUUCCUAUCUAGAUCGAUAAGAUAAACAGCUGAGCUUUUUCAAGCUAACAAUGUUCUGGUCAGGAAUCUUAAUUGAAACUGCAUUAACCGGUAGAUCGUCUUGCAUUAACACUAAAACUUCUGGGUUCAGGUAAAAGAAAAAAGGAUAAACUGGAAAGAUUUCGAAAAUUAGGUAGGUGUCGGGAAAGGUCUUAGUAUCCCCGUGUGGUUUUAUUCAUUAUUAUCAUGACUUUGGCAAAGGUUGUUGAACCCAAUUAUACCUACCUGGUGGUGUUGCUUGUCAACGUUGUUGAGAUCCUUGUAGUAGGCAGUCUCCAUAAAUUCCUCCUCCACUUGGCUUCCACUGUAAUUCAGUUUCUGCUUUCAAAAGUCCCAAAAGCAGAUCCAGGCAAUGGUUUGACAGAUGGAAGCUGAUUAGUAUCAGUAAAGCUGUUAUUCGCUGUGCAUUGUUGUAGUUUAGUAGCACUUUUUUAUUUGGAAUUAUUCCAGCACGUAUUCAAUGUGCCGACAUAAUAAUGAAACUUUUCGACAGUGUUACUAAUGCAGUGCUCGUGAUUACAGACAAAUAUAGAAAGGUAACAGACUUAUCAGAGUAUAUGAUUGCUCAGUGUACGUAUUUGUGCUUACAUGAGAUGCCCGCAUUGAAUCUAUUCAUUGACAGAGACUUGAUUAUAUGCCAAGGUACGUAUACAGACCUGAGUACUACCCUCGAGGCGUUGGAACUCCACCAACUCCGGUGUAGGAUUGUCAACGCCAUUACUGGACAGUGCAUCAACAUAGUUGGAAGAAUCCUCGCUCCUCCGCGGCUUGGUAUGGCGCUUGGGAGCGAUACCGUCAAAGUAAUCUCUCGUCUCCUCCUCUGCUUUCACCUCUUCAUCCCUCGAUAAAUGAACAUCGCUUCUGUUAGGCCUCCUGAAGGAUUCCAUCUCUCUAGUGUCAAUCGAUUUCCUAAGGUACUCCUCUCUGUUAGUUUCCAACUGGGGAUAAGGUUUGAUGCAUAGAAGGUCCCAUGUUGGUUGAACUUAUAGAGAGACUCCUAUUAGCUGUUGCUUAGAUAUUUCUGUGCGCUUGUUAGCUGUUGGGUGUACGGAAGGUUGCAGCCAUGGGACCACUAAUGUUGACACUUGAAUAAAAUAUCUGCUCGCUUUUAUCCAAAUGAAAUGGUGGUGGUAUUAAAAAAAAAAAAUGGAGAUAUUUUUAGCAGGAAAAUUGGUUCGAAGUUGCUGACUUUAUUUUAGAUCUGUGCUGCUGUCACGUGAUAGAUACGAUAAAUGAAGGAAAUUCUUCGUUGUGCAUGAGCUUCACUCCUCUCUUCGUAAGUAAACAUUCGCUGCGGAUGUUUGGCAGCUGAAACGGAGGAGACACUAGCUUCGCCAUCGCCAUCGCCAUCCGGUGACGACAUGAUUGGAUGGCUUGGCAUUCUAAGUCAGAGGCUUCUCCAGUUAGAGAUUCUUCCAUGGGCGAUACGAGGAUGCCUUUCUUGCGGAUACUCACCAUGCAGCAUCUUUUCCUCUUAUAGCUCGCUUUCGUUUAUCCGCCAGAAUGAGCUUGAGAUGAGAAAAGGCCAAGCUCCGGAGGCACUGGAGCCUGGAUCAGCUGCUCCUUCAGAGGGCAGUGCGUUAGUUGAGUCGAUAGUUGCUGGUGUUAAUACUGGUCGAAUUGAAGAGCCAACUCCCAGCCAGUGGACUUGAUUCGGUCAUGAUUCUUGAAGAUACAGAAGUCCAUGUGGACGUCCAGGUUCUGUUGAUACAGAGGAGGGAGUAGAUUCUUCGGCGGAUUUUUAUUUUCACUUUCCCUUUUUUUCAUGUACUAUAUAGUAUAUGCUAUCACAUAUAAUAUAAUUGGGAACCAUAUAUGAUAAUUUGGCAAUAGAGUAUGGCGUGGCAAUAGAAUGGUGUGAUUCAUGUUCCGACGGUAUGACCUCUCUUUGAUUCUUAGGCUGCAUUUGAUUUUUGCAAAUUCUGUGAAUUUGGAUUGGCUUUGAAUCCAGAUCGGGUCCAAUGGAUUGGCCUGACUCUGAAUUGACUCGGGUCCAAAGUAGCAACCCGAGCAUUGGAAACUCAUGCUAUGAGCCUGCUUUUAGAUGAAGUGACAAUCCAAUGGGGGGCAGUACUGUAGUAGCUACUAGCUGGUUCGCUUCACGUGACGGGACUUGUCCAUCACGUGACUUCCUCUGUGCUAUAGCCUAUAGUCAAACUCUCUUGAGGUUUGAACUUUACAGCCAGUCGUUCAUCCGACCGUACACGUGUCCCCUGAGUUGCUCAAACAACGAAUGAUGAAUGAGAAUGAUUGGUAUGCAACUGGGAGUUGUUGCUCCCCAAUUUUCAGUCAGACUUUCAAAGCCCUCACUUCCUUCCUUUGCUUCCUCUCCCUCCCGUUAAUGGCGGUUUCCUCGGCGAGGUAGGUGGGGUUUCUGCGUGUUGGCCUUGGCCCGAAGGAGAAGGAAGCUGUCUGAGCAGUAACAGUGACCGCAAAAAAAAAAAAAAAAAAAAAAAAGGCCAGAACUUAUUGCUCACAAUCCGGAAGAAGAAGAAAGAAAAAUUCACUUGCGAUCCAUCAAGCUCACAAGGGAAGAACCCAGCAGCAUGUGGACCCUUUUGUCCUGUGUGCUGAGAUGUAUGGUAUGGUGGACGGGGUAGCCGGUAAUAUUAUAUUAACUUUCAUGCCCCAAUCUGCUGCAGUUCACUGUUAAUGCUU